UUCGGCGCGGAGGAUGAGACGCUAUGUAUCUGGGUUUUGACGAGCUUCAUAUCAGCUUCCGCCUUGGCUAGGGAGGCUCGGAUCUUAGUUAGUUCGUCUUCUCUUUCAGAUUCUUCGACCCACCUUGCGUUUUCCUCAGCUUCUUCAUCGUCAGUGAGAUCUGUUCGCUCGGCGGAGUUAGCUCCGGCUCGGGUACGCUCAUCCUGCAGAUCAUCUGGCUCGUCCGUCAAGUCCACUGCAUCUGGCUCGGUGGGAUCUUCUUGGUUCUCGCGCCUGGCUGGGUCGGCUCGGGUUGCGACUCUGGUGUUGCCGGUUGGUGUCGCGAACGUGAGUCUCGUCG
This 340-nucleotide long non-coding RNA is filed under the name Arabidopsis lyrata. RNAcentral describes it as "long non-coding RNA (ALYR_LNC000203)". Lineage: Eukaryota; Viridiplantae; Streptophyta; Magnoliopsida; Brassicales; Brassicaceae. The record is from RNAcentral.